UCUACCCUCUUCUUGGAGGACCGAUGGAUCGAGGGUAGGUUGAUCAUCGAGACCGCGCCUGAGCUACUUCUCCUAGUCUCGAGAUGCAUUCGGAAGCGUCGUACCAUUCGUUAGGCUAUCACUGAUAGGCGGUGGAUCGCGGACCGUGGCACACUUAAACCCAUGACGCUGUGGCAGUACAUCCAGGUCUAGUGGAGCGCUCGCCUUGAGCAACACUCUGACUCGCGGGAUGCUCUGACUUACAUCGACUACCAGUGGCAUGUACUCCUCCAAGUCAUGCUAUGA
Molecule: ribosomal RNA, 285 nt
Filed under: Triticum aestivum (bread wheat)
Lineage: Eukaryota; Viridiplantae; Streptophyta; Magnoliopsida; Poales; Poaceae
Description: partial small subunit ribosomal RNA
Source: RNAcentral